Molecule: transfer RNA, 77 nt
Filed under: Erwinia phage phiEa21-4
Lineage: Duplodnaviria; Heunggongvirae; Uroviricota; Caudoviricetes; Andersonviridae
Also listed under: 11 other names
Description: tRNA-Gln
Rfam family: tRNA
About the family: Transfer RNA (tRNA) molecules are approximately 80 nucleotides in length. Their secondary structure includes four short double-helical elements and three loops (D, anti-codon, and T loops).
Source: RNAcentral
AGGAUGUUCGUAUAGUUGGCCUAUUACACCGGACUCUGAAUCCGGUUACGAUGGUUCGAAUCCAUCACGUCCUGCCA